AUAAGUUAAAUUAGCUACAACUUGUAUCCCAGUUUAAAAUGAUGAAGAUCUUGGAAGAAAGCCCAAGCAUCUCAUGAAAUAAUCUCAGUAAAAAAGAAUGUUCUAAUGUUUUCUCAUAACACAAUGUUCUAAUGUUUUCUCAUAACACCCUCGAAUCAAUGCUUUCCACAAAUUGUUACAACAAUAAUAAUCCCACUCAAAGCUAGUCCCAUUUAAAUAACUUAAAAAACUAGAUUAUCUAAAUGCAAAGGUUUCCU
RNAcentral lists this long non-coding RNA (257 nucleotides) under Gossypium raimondii (Peruvian cotton). Its description in RNAcentral is "long non-coding RNA (GRAI_LNC006850)". Lineage: Eukaryota; Viridiplantae; Streptophyta; Magnoliopsida; Malvales; Malvaceae. The record is from RNAcentral.